Chelonia mydas (Green sea turtle) is the source of this 1847-nucleotide long non-coding RNA. RefSeq lists it as uncharacterized. The transcript has 2 exons. Lineage: Eukaryota; Metazoa; Chordata; Testudines; Cheloniidae. The record is from RefSeq and is a predicted model, not a curated record.
GCUGACCACCAGAGGGGAAGGAGGCAUGCUAUCAGCUCCUGAGGAGGGACAGGCUGUGCUCCAGGAUCUGGAGGCCAGCCAAGCCUGGAUGUGCUCUGAUGCUCAGAUGGGAUAAAUCACAGAAGGGGAACAGACCAGAGGAUCUGGAGGUUAUGGUAGGAAGCAACCCAGGGGAACUUUAAAGGAAAAUGGUGUUAAAGCUGCACAGAGGCUUGCUGUGUUUCAGGCAGAUCCCUGCUGAGCUGGUGGCAAGGGGAACUUGCUACUACCAGGACCCUGGGUUGGGACCUGGUGAAGAAGGCGGGCCUGGGUCCCUCUACCCCAGGCAUGGAAAUCAUAUGGACCCUGGACAUUUGGGAUUAAAUACAGCCCAGACAGUGCAGCUUCUCCCAUGCUGCACCCACUGAUGCUGACCUAGAGGGGCUACCAUCAAGGGGAUGAACACAUUAAUCUCUCCUUGGCAUUUGCCACCUUGCCGGAGGCAUUCAUCACUUUGAAGGAUAAGGCAUAUUGGCCCUGGUUCUCAUUGACACGAAGGCCCCUUAUCUCAUUUACACUCUCUUUAAGGCACUGCCAUUACGGUGUCAGAGGACUUUGUGUCAACCAGAAUUCAGGACUUUGAACACUGACCACACACAGAGUUUUUCCCUUGCAAUGCCAGUUUUACCCCCAUGGAAACAGAGGGGUUUGGGCUGCUGGAAUGUUGCUAAAACAUGGCAACUCAAACCCAAUAGUUUAUUUCCAUAUUUGCGGUGCCAAGCUAACGUAUCUCUGUGUCAUUCACGACAGUACACUCCCCUUUUACAGCCAUUUCAAGAAAGUAGACUUCAAAGCGAAGACUUGCUGCAACCUUUUCCACAAGUGAGUGGGAACAAGCUGGGGAUAAACUGUGCCGGUGCUACGAACGUCGGCCUUGGCCCUUGUGUACUCAGUUGCACAGUACCAUGCACCAGUGAGGACAAGAAGCUGCCAUACCCAACUUGUGGAUAUGUAGCUCAAUCAGACCAUGCAAAUCAGCCUGGGAACUCUAAAAAUCGCUGCCCAGCUUUCUGUAUUAGGUAUCGGUUAAGGCAUUGCACUCUCUAAGUUUGUGGUGGGUCUUCAGUUAGUCCUCCUGUCAAGUCCCACUCAGUGUGUUUGUGAGAUAAAAAUCAACCCCCUUCUGGGAUAUAAGCCCAACAGGGGGCCUAUCUCAGCACCCUCUGUAAGGUCCCUUUAUCUGCAGCCCUAUCCCCGGGCUCACUCCUCAAUGAGUCCAGCAGGGCCUAUCACAGUACCCUGGUUCGAACUGUCUCAGCCCCUUCUGGGCUCCCUUGAAUUAUCCCUGCUCUUCAAGCAGUCCUGGCUCUGGUGACUGGAGACUCUCUGGGUCUUUCUGGCCCCAAAUCUUCAGCAGGGCCACUAAGUGUUCAGUUCCCCCUCUGGGGUAUAUGAAAGGCCAAGACACUUUCCCCAUGGCUGGUGGGGGGGACCCAGGCCCGCCCUUUACUCCAGGUCUCAGCCCAGGGACCCUAAAAAUAGCAGCUGUCCUCCCGGUCCCUGUAAGCUGCGUUGCUGCUACAAUUCCCUGGGCUACUUCCCUGCAGGCCCAGCUCAUUCUUUGCCCUUCCCUCAGUGCCUUGUCUUGGUUGAGUCCCAACAGCCAUCCCGGAGCUCCUUUGUGUUCCCCUCAGGAUCUGCCAGCACUGCUCUGUCUGAGAUCCUGUAGGUCCCUCAGCCAGCCAGGCACACCACCCACACUCCUCCAGCUCCAGCAAAGAACAUAUCUCGCCCCAUCACACCACAGCACAAGAACUUAAACAUGCUGAAGACUACCCGGAACAUCCCACCUGGCAGGUUACGGACAA